This 290-nucleotide ribosomal RNA is filed under the name uncultured bacterium. RNAcentral's name for it is "partial 16S ribosomal RNA". It matches the Rfam family "Bacterial small subunit ribosomal RNA", at positions 334 to 635 of the family's 1533-position model. The record is from RNAcentral.
UAUUCCUACGGGGCGCAGCAGUCGAGAAUCAAUCACAAUGGGGGAAACCCUGGUGGUGCGACGCCGCGUGGGGGAAUGAAGGUCUUCGGAUUGUAAACCCCUGUCAUGUGGGAGCAAAUUAAAAAGAUAGUACCACAAGAGGAAGAGACGGCUAACUCUGUGCCAGCAGCCGCGGUAAUACAGAGGUCUCAAGCGUUGUUCGUGAUCACUGGGCGUAAAGCGUGCGUAGGCUGUUUCGGAAGUCGUGUGUGAACGCGGCGGGCUCAACCCGCCGACGCCACAUAAUACGG